This 253-nucleotide ribosomal RNA is filed under the name uncultured bacterium. Its description in RNAcentral is "partial 16S ribosomal RNA". It matches the Rfam family "Bacterial small subunit ribosomal RNA", at positions 524 to 776 of the family's 1533-position model. The record is from RNAcentral.
GACGAACCGUGCGAACGUUGUUCGGAAUCACUGGGCUUAAAGGGCGCGUAGGCGGCUAUGCAAGUCGGGGGUGAAAUCUUUCGGCUCAACCGGAAAAGUGCCUUCGAUACUGUAUAGCUAGAGGGAGGUAGGGGCAGACGGAACUUCCGGUGGAGCGGUGAAAUGCGUUGAUAUCGGAAGGAACGCCGGUGGCGAAAGCGGUCUGCUGGCCCUCUUCUGACGCUGAGGCGCGAAAGCCAGGGGAGCAAACGGG